Molecule: ribosomal RNA, 253 nt
Filed under: uncultured bacterium
Lineage: Bacteria
Description: partial 16S ribosomal RNA
Rfam family: Bacterial small subunit ribosomal RNA
Source: RNAcentral
UACGGAGGGGGCGAGCGUUAUUCGGAAUUAUUGGGCGUAAAGGGCGCGUAGGCGGCUUUAUAAGUCAAAGGUGAAAUCCCUCGGCUCAACUGAGGAACUGCCUUUGAAACUGUAAAGCUUGAGGCCGGGAGGGGGUAGCGGAAUUCCCAGUGUAGCGGUGAAAUGCGUAGAUACUGGGAGGAACACCAGUGGCGAAGGCGGCUACCUGGACCGGUUCUGACGCUGAGGCGCGAAAGCGUGGGUAGCAAACAGG